This 45-nucleotide non-coding RNA is filed under the name Schistosoma bovis. The record is from RNAcentral. Lineage: Eukaryota; Metazoa; Platyhelminthes; Trematoda; Strigeidida; Schistosomatidae. RNAcentral also lists the same sequence under 1 other name.
AUCCGACUGACGAGUCCCAAAUAGGACGAAACGCGCGUCCUAAAU